UGUUACUGCGAAGGGGGGACGGAGAAGGCUAUGUUAGCCGGGCGACGGUUGUCCCGGUUUAAGCAUGUAGGCUGGUUAUCCAGGCAAAUCCGGAUAACCAAGGCUGAGGUGUGAUGACGAGGUACUACGGUGCUGAAGUAACAAAUGCCCUGCUUCCAGGAAAAGCCUCUAAGCAUCAGGUAACAUUAAAUCGUACCCCAAACCGACACAGGUGGUCAGGUAGAGAAUACCAAGGCGCUUGAGAGAACUCGGGUGAAGGAACUA
Molecule: ribosomal RNA, 264 nt
Filed under: Klebsiella pneumoniae
Lineage: Bacteria; Pseudomonadati; Pseudomonadota; Gammaproteobacteria; Enterobacterales; Enterobacteriaceae
Description: partial 23S ribosomal RNA
Rfam family: Bacterial large subunit ribosomal RNA
Source: RNAcentral